UUGGCCAAUGCAUGAGACAGAAAAAACCUAGCCCAAUCAAAGGCCAAUCGGCGCCUCCAUUCCACGUAUUUUACCUUUUUCCAAUUUUGAAACAAAAAACCAUGCUCAGUACUCUCACUUCCUUUUCCAUGGGGUCUCUCCCUCACAUAAGCUAAACAACAACCUUACGCACUACAUUGAUAGUCUCUUAUUUCUAAAACAAAAAAAAAAUCUAUUUCCUGCUAUAAGACCCCAAUUUUGACCCUAAGAUCCCU
This 254-nucleotide long non-coding RNA is filed under the name Lathyrus oleraceus (garden pea). RNAcentral describes it as "Pisum sativum (pea) long non-coding RNA (PSAT_LNC016517)". The record is from RNAcentral. Lineage: Eukaryota; Viridiplantae; Streptophyta; Magnoliopsida; Fabales; Fabaceae.